Molecule: ribosomal RNA, 458 nt
Filed under: uncultured bacterium
Lineage: Bacteria
Description: partial 16S ribosomal RNA
Rfam family: Bacterial small subunit ribosomal RNA
Source: RNAcentral
CCUACGGGAGGCAGCAGUGGGGAAUAUUGCACAAUGGGGGAAACCCUGAUGCAGCGACGCCGCGUGAGUGAAGAAGCGAUUCGGUGCGUAAAGCUCUAUCAGCGGGGAAGAAAUACUGAUCUUACGAUCCGCGGACGGUACCCGAGCAAGAAGCCCCGGCUAACUACGUGCCAGCAGCCGCGGUAAUACGUAGGGGGCAAGCGUUAUCCGGAUUUACUGGGUGUAAAGGGAGCGUAGACGGCGAGACAAGUCUGGAGUGAAAUGCCGAGGCCCAACUGCGGAACUGCUUUGGAAACUGGCGAACUAGAGUGCGGGAGGGGUAAGUGGAAUUCCUAGUGUAGCGGUGAAAUGCGUAGAUAUUAGGAGGAACACCAGUGGCGAAGGCGGCUUACUGGACUGUAACUGACGUUGAGGCUCGAAAGCGUGGGGAGCAAACAGGAUUAGAUACCCGAGUAGUC